RNAcentral lists this long non-coding RNA (1942 nucleotides) under Medicago truncatula (barrel medic). RNAcentral's name for it is "long non-coding RNA (MTRU_LNC005202)". Lineage: Eukaryota; Viridiplantae; Streptophyta; Magnoliopsida; Fabales; Fabaceae. The record is from RNAcentral.
UCCAUGCAGGAAUCAUACACUGGUCUCACAAAUUAAGGUCAUUAUAAAAAUUAGGCAUGUAAAAUAAAAGUAAGAAAAAAGAAUAAAUGUUAUGUUCUGUUGAAAUUUGGGGCCGCCUAACUCAUCCUUACAAAACCGGCUUGUAAGGUGAUGAUUGUCUUCUCUUUAUAUAUGAGACUUGAGUUUUUUCCAAUACACCCCCUCACGCCCAUCACUCUUUGGGCUUGGUGCGUGAAUAGGUAGGUAACCCUUGAAUUCGACAAACUCUAAUACCAUGUCAAAAUUUGGGGUAAGAGUCUCAUCUAUCCUAUGUGGGACUUGGGUUUUUCCCAAUACACCUCCCUCACGCCCAGCACUCUUUGAGCUUGGUGCAUGAAUAGGUAGGUGACCCUUGAAUUUGACAAGCUAUUAUACCAUGUUGAAAUUUGGGGCCUAACUCAUCCUUACAAAACCAACUUGUAAGGUAAGAAUUGCCUCCUCUUUAUAAACUGUCAUCAAAAGUCUUAUUUAUCCGAUGUGAAACUUGGGUUUUUCCCAAUAUGUUUCUUGAGUUGGUAGAAUAAGAAAAUAAACACCAAUUGAACACCAAUUUCUUACGUUGUGAGAGUAUUGCACCUUCCAUUAGCCAGAACAUUUGUAGAUAUGUUAAAUUGUUAUGUUAUUCGUUCAAAUUAUGUUCCUUAAGUUGGUAGAACUCAAAUUAUGUUCAACUUAAGAGCGUACUCGUUCUUCAACAAGAUAGUAGUAAGAAUUUUUUAAGGGUGUGUAAAAGAUGAAUGUAAAGUGAGAGAAAAAAUAAUAAAUCCUUAGAUAUUGGUUCAAAUGUGCUGUUUGUAAUAUUGGUCUCGUGAAAAUUAUAAACUAUAAAAUAACUUACUUUUAAUUUGUUUUUAAUCAAAUUACAUCAUAAGUCAUUUAAGUUAUUUAAUAGUAAUCAAUUAGUUUAGAGUUUUUUUUCGUACCACUUAUAUCAUUUAAGUUAUUUUCCUUCAAACAAAAUCAUUUAAGUUAUUUAAUUGUAACAAAUUAGUUCUUUAAAUAUUUUUCGUAACGCUUAAUUCUUUUAUGUUAUUUAAUUGUAAUUUUUAAGCUCCAAAUAACUUAAAUAACCUAAUUGAUAAAAAAAUAAAAAAACUUGAAGAUUUAACUUGUUAAAAUUAACUAAUAUAAAUGACCUCCUUCAAAUAAAAACAAAGAUAAAAGAUCUAAGUGGUACGAUAAAAAUUGAAAGAACCAAUUUAUUAUAAUUAAAUAACUUAAAAAUUCUCUAGUGUAAUUUAAUCUUUUUUAGUUUUAGUAUAGUUUUGUUCCAAUCGAGUUGAUCAGAUUUUAGAUGUCUCCUUAAGAGGAGCCUUGGACUUCCACAAAUUUACAAUGUUGCUGAAGUCUAUCCCCUGCACUAGACCCAUAUUGGUUAAGAUAGCUUAUUCAUACACCUCAUACUCUUGGUUCGAUUAAGCAAAUCUUAUAAACUAAUUAAAUAAAUUGUAAGUUAUAUAAAAACUAUAAUUAUAACAAUAUUUUAAAUUUUAAGAAAUAUACUUAAAUUAAGAUAAAAUUUUAUCUACAUAAAUGUUUAGUAUCAUAGUGAGUAUGAUAGAAUCACAAUAACCCACAAGAAUUUUUUAAAAGUUAAACUUUGUAGUUUCUAUAAAAUCACAGUGGAUUAUCGUAAUUCUGACAUAUCUUUCGUGAUACUAAAGACGCACAAAGAUUUUUAAACUAUCAAAAUUUUAUUUUUUUAAGAAUAAGCAAUCAAAAUUAUUGUGUUAAUUAAUUAAAGUAAAAUAAAUGGACUUGACAUAAAAAAUUAACUUACUCAAAGAUUUCAUCCUAAUUAAAGUUGGAUAUAAAUCACUAAAAAAAGAGAUGAUUGAAAUUACCUUAUCAUCUAUAAACUUGGACCAGAAACGUGCCAAGGCUCUUUUAUAAGGAUCAGAAG